UAGGUUUAUAAAAUAAUUAAGAUUGAUCCUGUCUGAAAUUUUUAUUUUGUAAUUAGCUUUUAGUUGGUAUUAAAUAUAAGUUUUUGCGUGUUGAGU
Molecule: ribosomal RNA, 96 nt
Filed under: Vazquezitocoris repletus
Lineage: Eukaryota; Metazoa; Arthropoda; Insecta; Hemiptera; Coreidae
Description: partial small subunit ribosomal RNA
Source: RNAcentral